CACAACAAAAGCUGCAAAGGUGCUCCGAACCGGAAAGGCAAGGGGCUGAAACGGGAAUGGGGAAGGGCGGACCAAAUCGCGGCGCCCCCACCCCAGCCGCCCCCGCGACUGUCAGCGGAGAGCGGCCAUCCAAAAUGCCACUGGCCACUCACCGGGCCGGGAAGGUGGAUGGUCGUGUCGACCCGCAAGCCAGGAGACCGGCCUUGCCAAAUGUAACCCA
This 220-nucleotide non-coding RNA is filed under the name Roseovarius sp. Lineage: Bacteria; Pseudomonadati; Pseudomonadota; Alphaproteobacteria; Rhodobacterales; Roseobacteraceae. The record is from RNAcentral.